CCUACACCGAAACCAUAAAUAGUGAAUAUCAAGCACUUAUGAAAAUAAACGUGUCAGAGAAUGUCUGACGGCCUGGUCCAAAUACUAACAGACAUGCAUAACAACCCUCACAAGUAGAUUCUUAGCAAUUCUUAAAUUCCAUACCACAUACAUCCACCAUAUUUACCAGAAAUAUGAAAUAAAAACUGACAGUAAUAAACAUAAGUUCCGAUUCCAAACACAAUUUCUUCAAACAAACACAAUUAUCAGAAACGUAUAUACAAACAAAAGUGACAGGUAUACAUAAUUCAAUACCUUUUGGCAGAAAAGUGGCUUCUGCACUAAACAUAUGAAAUACACACCAAAACUCUUUAAGUUUUACAAAUGCACAAAUUUUGUAUCUCACACAAGUUGUGAUUGAACUGGAGCUGAGUUCUAAUUUCUAAAAUGGUUGAGGUUGGUUGUGAGAUCGACAAAGGCUGCUGUGUAGUACUCACAAGAGAAUAGGAAACGAUAAUUCACAAUAGUGGUGCAUAUGCAACACAAUAAAAAAGUGAGAAAGGUGAAAAUUUAUUCAUAGGCACUCAAAUUUAUUAUAAAAAUUCAAAAAGAAAAGAACGUCAUGAUACAAGUUAAGAAUAAACUAGCAUAAUCAAGACAAACAAGUAUAAGGCUUCAACCUAUGUUUAUGGUCUUGUUUACCUGACCAUUUGCUUAGCUAGUUUCUAGUGGUGGUAGUGACAGUUUUGAAAUUCAAUGAUUGGAAAUAAGAUUCAGAAAAGAUAAACAGUAGCUUGGCUUUAUAAUGAUGGAACUCUUUUCUGUUUAUGGUCUUAUUUACAUUUUUUUUCUCUCUCUCAUAUCAAACAUCAUUUGACACUUAAAAUUCACAGAAUUUUUUCUAUAAUGCAUUGCCAACUACUGCGCAUUUUGAUGGAAUUUUAGUCAGCUAACAAUGAAUUUCAAACUAGUUCUCCUGACAAAAUAUGAUAGAAGCCCACUUUCUAACAUUUCCCAUACACUACUAGGAUCUGAAAAACGAAUGCCAGAUAGUAUGGCAUUGCAUGCCAAGGAGCAAUAAGUAUUUCACUCUAUAGAAAACUGAAAACCAAAUGCAAACACUGCAUACCAAGGAGCAAUGAGUAUUCCAAUCCACAGAAAACCAAAUCCAAACUAGUUAACUGGGCUAAAUGAAUCAUUUCCUCCUUUCCAUCCGGUUUAGGGCUACAUGUUUAGAAAGUGCCAGGGACAUCAAGUCUUCUUUUAUCGAAUUAGAACCAAUACAUUAACAAAGUCCACACUAGUAAGUUCAUAUCUCCUAUCAACUAUAUCUGUAAUCAAACUCAACUGUGCCUACUUAAUUGCUAUUUGAGUCGCUACACAAGCUAACACCAAUAAAAUGCGAUAAUACACUAUCCAUCAACAAUCAGUCACAUACAUGUCACGGAUUACUUUAUAUGAUAAAAUGCAGUAAAUAUCCUAACUUUAGAAUUAUUCAUACAAAUCUCGAAUCUGAUCCAAGUCACAACCAAAUCGAAUCACAAAACUAAGCCAAAAUCUAUACUGAACUACAAUCACCAGUCAACACGAGUUACAACUCCAGUCAUACAAAAAAUCAUCAGGGCUUUCUUACAAUGUCACAAAGACCCUAACUUUUUGAUAUCGGUCUCUUCAUGGUGCAAAAUUAAAUAUAAGACUACAAAUUGAAAAUUCGAAAAAAAAAAAAUCAAUUACAAACAGGAAAACACAUACAGACACAUAUUUACACAAACCUGAAACUUGUUCCUUAUUGAAAACGAUUCCUUGAACCGAUCUCUUCGCUCAAAACAGAUUGCAGAGGAGGGAGAGAGAGAAGAGCAGAGCCAGAGAAAGAGGGAGAGAUAGAAAGAGGCGUUUGGUGACCUCCUUUC
Molecule: unclassified non-coding RNA, 1889 nt
Filed under: Hevea brasiliensis (rubber tree)
Lineage: Eukaryota; Viridiplantae; Streptophyta; Magnoliopsida; Malpighiales; Euphorbiaceae
Source: RNAcentral